Molecule: ribosomal RNA, 649 nt
Filed under: Heterosigma akashiwo
Lineage: Eukaryota; Raphidophyceae; Chattonellales; Chattonellaceae
Description: partial Bacterial large subunit ribosomal RNA
Rfam family: Bacterial large subunit ribosomal RNA
Source: RNAcentral
UAGCUAAGUGAUGGGGUGACGCAGUGAGGUAGCUUGAGCCACUUAUUGGAUUGUGGUGUAAGCGUGUAGAACGUCAGGAUAGGUAAAUCCGCCUGGCAUGUGUUCGAGGCGUGAUGCAGAGCCCCUUUUGGGGUGAAUUCGGUGAUCCUGUACUGUCGAGAAAAGCCUCUAGCGAGUACAUAUUCGGCCCGUACCUAAACCGACACAGGUAGUCAGGUAGAGAAUACUAAGGCGUUCGGGUGAACUGUGGUUAAGGAACUCGGCAAAAUGCCCCCGUAACUUCGGGAGAAGGGGGGCCAUGACAGGUGACCGGUUUUACACCGUGAGCGUGUUGUGGUCGCAGAGAAUAGAGGGAAGCGACUGUUUAUUAAAAACACAGGUCCGUGCGAAGACGUUUAAGUUGAUGUAUACGGACUGACGCCUGCCGGUGCUGGAAGGUUAAGAGGGGAGCUUAGUCGCAAGGCGAAGGCUUGAAUCGAAGCCCCAGUAAACGGCGGCCGUAACUAUAACGGUCCUAAGGUAGCGAAAUUCCUUGUCGGGUAAGUUCCGACCUGCACGAAUGGCGUAACGAUGGCCACACUGUCUCCUCCCGAGACUCAGCGAAGUUGAAAUGUUUGUGAUGAUGCAAUCUCCCCGCGGAAAGACGGAA